GAUGAAGAACGCAGCGAAAUGCGAUAAGUAAUGUGAAUUGCAGAAUUCAGUGAAUCAUCGAAUCUUUGAACGCACAUUGCGCCCGCCAGUAUUCUGGCGGGCAUGCCUGUCCGAGCGUCAUUUCAACCAUCAAGCCCCCGGGCUUGUGUUGGGGACCUGCGGCUGCCCGCAGGCCCUGAAAACCAGUGGCGGGCUCGCUGUCACACCGAGCGUAGUAGCAAUCACCUCGCUCAGGGCGUGUUGCGGGUUCCGGCCGUUAAACAGCCUUACAAAACCCAAGGUUGACCUCGGAUCAGGUAGGAAGACCCGCUGAACUUAAGCAUAUCAAUAAGCGGAGGA
This 339-nucleotide unclassified non-coding RNA is filed under the name soil metagenome. Its description in RNAcentral is "partial contains 5.8S ribosomal RNA, internal transcribed spacer 2, and large subunit ribosomal RNA". The stretch from base 1 to 120 matches the Rfam family "5.8S ribosomal RNA", at positions 35 to 154 of the family's 154-position model. The record is from RNAcentral.